RNAcentral lists this ribosomal RNA (380 nucleotides) under uncultured eukaryote. RNAcentral describes it as "partial 18S ribosomal RNA". It matches the Rfam family "Eukaryotic small subunit ribosomal RNA", at positions 592 to 976 of the family's 1831-position model. The record is from RNAcentral.
CAAUAGCGUAUAUUAAAGUUGUUGCAGUUAGAACGCUCGUAGUCGGAUUUCGGGGCGGGCCGACCGGUCUGCCGAUGGGUACGCACUGGUCGGCGCGUCCUUCCUUCCGGAGACCGUUCCUACUCUUAACUGAGCGGGGGCGGGAGACGGAUCGUUUACUUUGAAAAAAUCAGAGUGUUUCAAGCAGGCAACUCGCUCUUGCAUGGAUUAGCAUGGGAUAAUGAAAUAGGACUUUGGUGCUAUUUUGUUGGUUUCGAACACCGAAGUAAUGAUUAAUAGGGACAGUCAGGGGCACUCGUAUUCCGCCGAGAGAGGUGAAAUUCUCAGACCAGCGGAAGACGAACCACUGCGAAAGCAUUUGCCAGGGAUGUUUUCACUGA